UACGAAGGGUGCAAACGUUGCUCGGAAUUAUUGGGCGUAAAGCGCACGUAGGCGGCAUUGCAAGUCGGAUGUGAAAUCCCUCGGCUUAACCAAGGAAGUGCAUCCGAAACUGCAGUGCUUGAGUACUUAAGAGGAUCGCGGAAUUCCCGGUGUAGAGGUGAAAUUCGUAGAUAUCAGGAGGAACACCAGUGGCGAAGGCGGCUUUCUGGACGGUAACUGACGCUGAGACGCGAAAGCGUGGGGAGCAAACAGGG
This 254-nucleotide ribosomal RNA is filed under the name uncultured bacterium. RNAcentral's name for it is "partial 16S ribosomal RNA". It matches the Rfam family "Bacterial small subunit ribosomal RNA", at positions 524 to 777 of the family's 1533-position model. The record is from RNAcentral.